Molecule: ribosomal RNA, 450 nt
Filed under: uncultured Anaerolineaceae bacterium
Lineage: Bacteria; Bacillati; Chloroflexota; Anaerolineae; Anaerolineales; Anaerolineaceae
Description: bacterial SSU rRNA
Rfam family: Bacterial small subunit ribosomal RNA
Source: RNAcentral
GACGGGCCCGCACAAGCAGCGGAGCGUGUGGUUAAUCGAUGCUACACGAAGAACCUUACCAGGGUUGACAUGCAAGUGGUAGGAAACCGAAAGGUGGCCGACCCUUCGGGGAGCUUGCACAGGUGCUGCAUGGCUGUCGUCAGCUCGUGUCGUGAGACGUCGGUUAAGUCCGCUAACGAGCGCAACCCUCGCUGUGUGUUAUAUGUGUCACACGGGACUGCCGGUCUUAAGCCGGAGGAAGGUGGGAUGACGUCAAGUCAGCAUGGCCUUUAUAUCCUGGGCUACACACACGCUACAAUGGUCGGUACAAUAGGUUGCCAAGCCGCGAGGCGGAGCCAAUCCACAAAGCCGGCCUCAGUUCAGAUUGUAGGCUGCAACUCGCCUGCAUGAAGAUGGAGUUGCUAGUAACCGCAGGUCAGCAAUACUGCGGUGAAUACGUUCCCGGGUCUU